UCCCUCCUCCUCCUCCUCCUCCUCCUCCUCCUCCUCCUAGUCUUCCUUUAUUUCUUUGCUUGGUAGUUUUAUUUUGCUUUGUUUCAUUGAUAUUUUCUCUAGUAUGUUUGCAGCUAGGAAAUCUGCAAGAGUAACGCAAGUGAUACAGAUCAUGGAAAAGGGUUCUCGAGAAUGUUCGAAGUAUUUUCUCAGGGUAAGCACAAUUGCUAGGGACAACUAAUUAAUAGACCAUAAAAGAGUUAAAUUUACUGAUAAUGGAAGAUGCCUAUCCAAGUUCUUAUUUUGCAAGCAAUAUGGAAAUUAUUCACAAAUUUUCUUCAUUAUUUUCUUAAGAAACCCCCAAGAUUAUUGAAGAAGAAGAGAAGAAUCGAGUGGGGGGGAAGAGACUAUUGAUUGAGUCUUCACAGUAAGCCGACAAUAUAGACCGGAAAAUGUGUCUUCUUGCUUUCCUUCUGAAUGAAAAAAAAAAUUAUUAUUAAGCUCAAUUUUCUCAUAUCUUAAUUAAGUGUCGGAAUAUAUAAGAAAUACAAGACAUGAAAUCAAGUGUUAAUAUAUUUUGCUGUCUUUGUGCA
Populus nigra (black poplar) is the source of this 572-nucleotide long non-coding RNA. RefSeq lists it as uncharacterized. Lineage: Eukaryota; Viridiplantae; Streptophyta; Magnoliopsida; Malpighiales; Salicaceae. The transcript has 2 exons. The record is from RefSeq and is a predicted model, not a curated record.